This 292-nucleotide ribosomal RNA is filed under the name uncultured bacterium. RNAcentral describes it as "partial 16S ribosomal RNA". The record is from RNAcentral.
GGACUACACGGGUUUCUAAUCCUGUUUGCUCCCCGCGCUUUCGUGCCCGAGCGUCAGAUGGCGGCCAGGGCGCUGCCUUCGCCGUCGGUGUUCUUCCGGAUCUCUACGCAUUUCACCGCUCCACCCGGAAUUCCGCGCCCCUCUCCGCCCCUCAAGCCCGCCCGUCUGGAAAGUCCCCGCUCCGUUGAGCAGAGCGAUUUCACCCCCCACGCGGCGGGCCGCCUGCGCACCCUUUACGCCCAGUAACUCCGGACAACGCUCGCCUCCUACGUAUUACCGCGGCUGCUGGCAC